UACAGAGGUCUCAAGCGUUGUUCGGAUUCAUUGGGCGUAAAGGGUGCGUAGGUGGCGCCAUAAGUCGGGUGUGAAAUCUCGGGGCUUAACUCCGAAACUGCAUUCGAUACUGUGGUGCUUGAGGACUGGAGAGGAGACUGGAAUUCAUAGUGUAGCAGUGAAAUGCGUAGAGAUCAUGAGGAAGACCAGUGGCGAAGGCGGGUCUCUGGACAGUUCCUGACACUGAGGCACGAAGGCCAGGGGAGCAAACGGG
RNAcentral lists this ribosomal RNA (253 nucleotides) under uncultured bacterium. RNAcentral's name for it is "partial 16S ribosomal RNA". It matches the Rfam family "Bacterial small subunit ribosomal RNA", at positions 524 to 776 of the family's 1533-position model. The record is from RNAcentral.